RNAcentral lists this long non-coding RNA (1056 nucleotides) under Canis lupus familiaris (dog). Its description in RNAcentral is "lncRNA (ENSCAFG00040002860.1)". Lineage: Eukaryota; Metazoa; Chordata; Mammalia; Carnivora; Canidae. The record is from RNAcentral.
AUGCAAAGUUCUCACAGCUCCAGCCCAAGGCCCCGGCCACCUCCAGCUCUGGGAAGUACGCUGCUGCCUGCUGGACCCAGACCAGGAGAUCCAGGUGGGGAGAGCAUACCCCGCUCCCACGGCCCCGCCAAGGGGACGCAUGUGUUUCCUUUCUGUCAGAGUACAUCCAACGCGGCAGGCACGUUGCCAGGGAGACGUGAGCGCCGGCCUGAGACGGGACAGUCUGCACCCCGCGUUGUCCAGGGCUGGGGACGACACCCGCCGAGGCUGAGAAGGCCGAGAAGGCUGAGAACGGGUAUCGGAGCAGGAAAUGAGCCUAGCGGAGCCUCGGACCUUGGCCCACGGAGGAGGCCGCGCGGGCCCCCAAUUAAAGCUGGUACAUCUGUCGGGGCGGCCUGGGGACAGGCAACAGAUUCCCCCGCAGACAUCUGCCUCAGGAGGAGCAUGCUGGCUGAAGACUCGGGGUGGGGGCGGCCACUGCAAGCUGCUGACUGCGCCCAGGGGAGGGAGGGAGAGAGGGAGGGAAGGGGGCCGGGAGGCGGCUCUUUUUAUAGCAAGCAAACAAACAAACUGUUUUGCUUUAAGAAGCCAAAAAGGAAAAAAGAAAAAGAAAGAAAGAAAGAGAAUAUGUCUCUGCUGGCUACUGGAAGAGCGGCAGGCACCAUCUGGGGCAGCCGAGGGGAGAAGGCGAGGAGCCAGGCACGCAGGGGCCAGGGCCUGCCUUCCGGGGCCCCUCCGACAGCUGGGCACUGGGCCCUGGGAUGCACUGGGCCCAAGGCCACGCUGUGUGUGACUCACCCCGACUCCUCCCGGGAGCCCAGGAUGCUUCCCCGGUUUCCCAGGGGAUGGCUUGAGCCCCAGCCAGCAAUCAAGGCUACAGGCGGCGAGUGGGAGGCCAGGGUGCAGCCCCCCCCCCCGCCCCGCCGGCCCGGGCCCUGGCAAUGUCCGGGUCACUUCUGCACCAUGGCGCUCUGCCUCGCAUGCUCCCAGGCCGAUGGGGCAGGACCACCUGCGCCUCUGCCGUUCUUCCAAUCACACACGUGUCCAUCAAACUGA